RNAcentral lists this microRNA (21 nucleotides) under Patiria miniata (bat star). RNAcentral describes it as "pmi-miR-92c-3p". Its record names the gene pmi-miR-92c-3p. Lineage: Eukaryota; Metazoa; Echinodermata; Asteroidea; Valvatida; Asterinidae. The record is from miRBase by way of RNAcentral.
UAUUGCACUUGUCCCGGCCAG